RNAcentral lists this transfer RNA (77 nucleotides) under Dialister micraerophilus. RNAcentral's name for it is "tRNA-Asp". It matches the Rfam family "tRNA". Rfam says of the family: Transfer RNA (tRNA) molecules are approximately 80 nucleotides in length. Their secondary structure includes four short double-helical elements and three loops (D, anti-codon, and T loops). RNAcentral also lists the same sequence under 2 other names. Lineage: Bacteria; Bacillati; Bacillota; Negativicutes; Veillonellales; Veillonellaceae. The record is from RNAcentral.
GGCCCGGUGGUGUAGCGGUCUAACAUGUCGCCCUGUCACGGCGAAGAUCGUCAGUUCAAAUCUGAUCCGGGUCGCCA